AUUACCCUAAUUUUUAAAUUUAAAGAGAGAAGUGAAAAGGAGAAGCUAUUUGGGAUUUAUUGAGAUUUUAUUUUAUUAUGUCAUGCUCAGCAUCAUGUUUUACUUUAUUUUGUUUCCUUCUUAGAAGAACAAUUCUGCAGGGGAGUAUUUCUUCUAUAAGCAUUUCACAAACAAGGCUCAGAAGCGUCGGAUAAUUCCGGAGAGACCACAAAGCUAAAAAGGAACGGAAAUGGGAUUCUAACUCAGAAGAUGCUUUGCCCACGAGUCAAUGAGUUGCACGGAUGCUUUGGGCAAGGUCAUUCUAAAAGAAUGCCCUUUUCCCUGUUUCCCCACCCUCAAACCUCUUACGCAAUCAUUUAUUCUGCUGGAUUGACUUUAAAAAAGGUCGAGAGGAGCGAACACCUUCCAAACCCCUUUGGCUGCUUCUGCCUCAAAUGUAAGCCUCUUCCCCAGGAACUGGACAUUCAUAACCAGAAAUCAGAGGAGUGGGACCCAGGCUAAGGUGUCCCGCAUUACCUCAUUGAGAGCUGGGCGAAAGUAUCUUGAAAAUCACGGUGAAUGACACAAACGGAAUGAUUGGUAAUGACUGUGAAUGAAAAUCACAGUGAAGAAUUCUUGAACACUAUCUCUGAAACUAAUGAUCUGGCUAACUGAAUUAAAAUUAAAAAAGAAAAAGAAAAAGAAAAGAAAGAAAAUCACAGUGAGUGAUUUCAAACGGUCCUUGAAACAAAAAGGACUUGACAUCAUAAUUCCAGAGGAGAACCUCUUCAGGUAUUUUUGGAGGCUUCUCUGUCUUCCCGGUCACAUUCGCCUCUCAAAUGGAGAAGAGAACUUUAAGUGUAAGUAUCUCGGCCGUGAAGCAAAAUAGUGCGACUGGGAGUCAGGAAACUUGGAACUGAAUUUCAGUUCUGCCAUUAUCAGGCUAGUUAAAAUUCUUCACGUUUUGCAGCAAACGGUUCCAUCAGAGCCAGAUAGCGUGGGACUGGGGUGAGUUCUGUCUGGCAAGUAGGAAACCAGUAGUUCUCAGUCUUCGCUGAGUGUUAGAGCUCCUGAGCAGCUUACACACAUCCUGGUGCCCAGGUGACACCUCAGAUCAAGGAAAGCAGCCCCUGUGGAGGUGAGACCCUGGCCCACACCCCUGGGGAUUACAAUGUAUGCCUCCAGCUGAGGCCCACAGGCUUGCAGGAUGAAUGCUGGGAGAGUGUGGGUGAAGCUUUGUGUGACAGAAACGAGGAGGGAGAGAGGUCCUGCCUGGCGCUACCCUGGGGAGUCAACUAAGUGGGAACAUACAGUGUGGCCUGCAGAGUCUGCCUGGGGCGAGGGGCCCAACGGGGACCAACACGGGGAUCAAGGGAUCGUAAAGCUACAAACAUCAACAAGCGUGUGUUUGUGGACUCUGGUCUCAUUUUCAUGUCACCAGGCUUGCCUCCCCUUGCUCUGUGGGCUUCUAACACUCGUAUUUGGCAAAAAUCGUUGGAUUUCUCUGUUCUACAGAGUGGUCAGCGGAAAGGCACUAUUAACCUGAUGUUAUCAUUCGACUGCAUUAGAACACAAGAUUUUCAGAGAUGGUUCAUACCAAAGGAAGGAGUGACCUGGUGAAGCAGGGAAGCGAAGUCUUUCGACCGAAGAGGUCACACUACCCCGGCACCAGCCCAAAGUCGAGGAAUAGGUUGCUUUUUGCGUUUCAUCCUUUCUUCUUCUGGCUACAAGCCUGCAAACACCCGGUAUGCCUCUCUAAUAGGGGACUGUACUAUUACGGCACCAUUAAAAUUCAUUGCACUCAUUUGUCAUUCCUACUGCCUGUACAAUUCAGCCAUAUCUGUUCUUCUCAGCAUUUGUCUAUGUCACAUUUGUAGGAUUGAGCGUCAUUUCCAAAAAAACCUAGUGCUCUCUCUUUCUAGCUCUGGGGAGAAACAAAACAAAACAAAACAAAACAAAACAACCCACUUAGCUUCCAAUCUUCAUUCUGUGGUUCCUAACCCUAAAUUUGCAGACAUAGGAUUUAUUUAAGGGAACGAAAGCUGAAUUAUGCUUUAAACCAUUUUUAAAAAAACCGAUUUUGAUUAUUAAUUCCUAUUUUUCCUACCUAACCAGUCUGGGGCUGAAUAGGAGUUUCGCCUGAAGAUGUAGCUAUCCUUGAAUUUAUAGAAGAGCUACGAAGAGUAUUGGUUACAAGUAGCCAGCCUUUCAGUGUGUCCUGUCCUUGAACCUUAUUUAAAUUUUGCUUGUGUGAAAAAGUGUAGUAGGCACGGGAAGAGCCAAUAAGGAGUAUGUUAUGGUCUUACGUGGCUGCCUUCCUUCCCAUCUCUCAGAUGUUACUUCCUCAGGUCUUCCCAGACCACCUUAUGGGAGAUGUCCUUAUACCUAAUUUUUGUUAAGUUAUUAAUUCAUUCGGACAAGGAAUACUGUGUUUCUGGAUCAGAGACGCUUUUUAAUUACUCAUAAUUGUGUUAGCUCUCUGUGUCCCAAUCUCCCCCAGGGUGACAUGAGAGGAACUUCCAAAUAAUGAAUUCUUGGGAGUUUGUAUGGAAGCUGACACAGCUGUUGCUCCUCCUCCCCUCCGGGGUGGGGAAGGAGAGGGAGAAAACACAGCCAAGUGACCUUUGCUUUGUAAUAUAAACCAACGCUCUCAGGGGAAUGAGAGGUGGGAGGUCUCUAGAUUUACAACCCCUCGAAUGUAAAUAAAUGUGUCCAAGGAAGA
This is a long non-coding RNA of Mustela lutreola (European mink), 2701 nucleotides long. RefSeq lists it as uncharacterized. The transcript is spliced from 3 exons. The record is from RefSeq and is a predicted model, not a curated record. NCBI's taxonomy places the organism in Eukaryota, Metazoa, Chordata, Mammalia, Carnivora, Mustelidae.